UACAGAGGUCCCAAGCGUUGUUCGGAUUCAUUGGGCGUAAAGGGUGCGUAGGCGGUGAAGUAAGUCUGGUGUGAAAUCCCGGGGCUCAACCCCGGAACUGCACUGGAUACUGCUUUACUAGAGUACUGGAGAGGGAACUGGAAUUUACGGUGUAGCAGUGAAAUGCGUAGAUAUCGUAAGGAAGACCAGUGGCGAAGGCGAGUUCCUGGACAGUUACUGACGCUGAGGCACGAAGGCCAGGGGAGCAAACGGGAUUAGAAACCCCCGUAGUCC
RNAcentral lists this ribosomal RNA (273 nucleotides) under uncultured bacterium. Its description in RNAcentral is "partial 16S ribosomal RNA". It matches the Rfam family "Bacterial small subunit ribosomal RNA", at positions 524 to 796 of the family's 1533-position model. The record is from RNAcentral.